UUACACCUUACAAAAAAAAUCAUGAUACAAAAAUGGCUUUUCUAAGGGAAGGCUCAUCCAUUGCACUUUGGGUAUGUUGCUAAUCCCUGUGAUUUCCCCAAAUGUGGGGAACUCAACUGUAUAAUUUAUCCUAAUAAAGGGAUUAUAUUUAUGAUUUUCCUAUU
This 164-nucleotide small nuclear RNA is filed under the name Pogona vitticeps (central bearded dragon). RNAcentral's name for it is "U1 spliceosomal RNA (ENSPVIG00000007723.1)". It matches the Rfam family "U1 spliceosomal RNA". From Rfam's summary of the family: U1 is a small nuclear RNA (snRNA) component of the spliceosome (involved in pre-mRNA splicing). Its 5' end forms complementary base pairs with the 5' splice junction, thus defining the 5' donor site of an intron. Lineage: Eukaryota; Metazoa; Chordata; Lepidosauria; Squamata; Agamidae. The record is from Rfam by way of RNAcentral.